This 30-nucleotide non-coding RNA is filed under the name Homo sapiens (human). The record is from RNAcentral. Lineage: Eukaryota; Metazoa; Chordata; Mammalia; Primates; Hominidae.
UCCUGCCUUUCUGCAGCCUCUACAGGCCCA